Molecule: ribosomal RNA, 403 nt
Filed under: bacterium
Lineage: Bacteria
Description: partial 16S ribosomal RNA
Rfam family: Bacterial small subunit ribosomal RNA
Source: RNAcentral
UGGGGAAUAUUGCACAAUGGGGGAAACCCUGAUGCAGCGACGCCGCGUGAACGAAGAAGGUAUUCGUAUCGUAAAGUUCUGUCCUAUGGGAAGAUAAUGACAGUACCAUAGAAGAAAGCUCCGGCUAAAUACGUGCCAGCAGCCGCGGUAAUACGUAUGGAGCGAGCGUUGUCCGGAAUUAUUGGGCGUAAAGGGUACGCAGGCGGUUUAAUAAGUCGAAUGUUAAAGAUCGGGGCUCAACCCCGCAAAGCAUUGGAAACUGAUAAACUUGAGUAGUGGAGAGGAAAGUGGAAUUCCUAGUGUAGUGAUGAAAUACGUAGAUAUUAGGAGGAAUACCAGUAGCGAAGGCGACUUUCUGGACACAAACUGACGCUGAGGUACGAAAGCGUGGGGAGCAAACAGG